This 1907-nucleotide long non-coding RNA is filed under the name Homo sapiens (human). Its description in RNAcentral is "HSALNT0103244". The record is from RNAcentral. Lineage: Eukaryota; Metazoa; Chordata; Mammalia; Primates; Hominidae.
AAAAUAGGUCUGUACAUUUUUGAGCACCCAAAGUGGUAAGAGACAUUCUUGAAAACAGCUUAAAAAUUUCUGUAGAUACCACCACAAAUAAUCCACACAAUACUUCAACAAGCAUUUAUUAAACGCCUACUAUGUGCUCAGCACUAUACUAGGCACUCGGGGGUGCAGAGAUACAAAUGUAAAAGUUAUUAUUCCUGCCCUCAAGGAGCUUACAAUUUAAUUUUGGAAAUAAAUACAAAUAUGAAACUGUAACACAGAGUGCUAGAAAAUAAUUACAAAGCAACAUAUUAGUAAGUACAUGGACCACAGUACAAACUCAAAAGAUAAGUGCUGAGGCAAGAGCUUGUAAGACAUCAGUAGAAGGCUGUAGGAAGUUUGAAUCUGUUGAAUCAAGGUGAAUAUGCUAGAGAGUAAUGAAGGCUGAUGAAUAUUAGGCAUAGAGGUAAUGGAGAAUUUGGAACACCACUGCUCCAUAGGAAUUAUCUACUGGGUGUUACUUAGUGAAAAUGAAAUUUUACAAUAGAGAUAUUGUAAAAAUGGGUGUUUGAGGAGGAUCGUCUUUGAAAAAUUAUCUACUGGGUGUUACUGAAAAUGAAAAUUUUACAAUACGGAUAUUGUAAAAAUGGAGUUUGAGGAGGAGCACCUUAGAAACUUUAUACAAGAUGGGGAUCCUGGGAGCAAGGAAAUUGGAAAAAAAAGAAUUACAGUAACCUGGGCCUCAGAUCUACAUGAAAAGCUAUAAUGGGAUGAGAGAAAUGGGAGAUCAAGCCUCAAGGAGAAAACUGAUUAAAAACUGGACUGACAGCAAGUUUUUGGACAUGGAGAAUGGAGAGCAGAAAAAGAUAACUCCAAGGCUGGGGUAAAAAUAUAAAGGUGGUGACACUUUUCAGGGCAAAGGAAUUACGCAAUGAGGCCUGUUUAAAAAGAAAACGGGGGCUGGGGAUAUAUGGUGAUGAAUCCUGUUUUCAAAUAUCAAGUUGUACAGGUACCUGUGGAAAAUUCCAAAAGUCACAAACUGACCCACAGGGUGGGAAAAAUGAAGUCAUUCGAAUACAAAUAGUAGGUAUAAACAAUCAAAAUGGAUAAAUAGGAGUAUAGAAAAUGAAGUGAAUAAAAGACAGGGAGAUUAUUCUCAGUGGAGAAGAGGAGAAAGGGGAGUGGGUGGAAAGAUCAACUAAAAAAAGAAAGACAGAUAUUAGAGAAAAAGGAUCCCACAAGCCAAAGGAGGGAGAAUUCAACAAUAUAAAAUAUAAAUUAGAUCAAAAAAGACAAGAAAUAAUAAUAAAAAAAGGCCUUAUUAUUUGUCCACUGGUGAGUCUAAGAACAUUUCACUGGAAUGCUAAGUAUGAAAGCCAGUAAAAAGAAGUUUUAAGAACAGAUUAAUGAAAAAGGGGGGAGAAAGUACUGAUGAAUAGUUCAUUUCAGAUGAACAUAAAGAUAGAAUCUAUAGGAUAAAGGAGCUUAAUGAAUGCCAUUCACAGUUAAGAGCUCAAAAUGUCAUACAGCCUAGUCAAUAAUAUUCUAUGCUAAGAGUGUGAACUUGAGACAAAGAAUGAUUUCUAGUGAUGUCCUCAAAGAAUCCACAGCCUUUUUCUAUUGUCUUAUACCAUUUGGCUAAUUCUGUAUAUGUGCUGUAUCAGCUUUGAUAAUUCUUUCAAGACACAGUCUUUUCUCACACCCAAUAUAACACUAAUUUUUCUAGUCAUAUUAUUUUCUCCAAAUUUAUGCCACAUGCUUAGUAAUUCUGAGAUUUAAGUAAUCUGGCUACAUAUUACUCUUAAUACUGACACAUAAAGAGACUUUAGCUAGUACAUCUGUAUACAUUUCAAUGUGUUGCUCUGGUCUAUGGCCAUACCACCCUGAAUGCACCCAAUUUUGUUAAUAUGUUGCAUUGCUAAAAGGACUUU